Molecule: ribosomal RNA, 253 nt
Filed under: uncultured bacterium
Lineage: Bacteria
Description: partial 16S ribosomal RNA
Rfam family: Bacterial small subunit ribosomal RNA
Source: RNAcentral
UACAGAGGUCUCAAGCGUUGUUCGGAUUCAUUGGGCGUAAAGGGUGCGUAGGUGGCGAGGCAAGUCUGGUGUGAAAUCCCGGGGCUCAACCCCGGAACUGCACUGGAUACUGCCUUGCUUGAGCACUGGAGAGGGAACUGGAAUUUACGGUGUAGCGGUGAAAUGCGUAGAUACCGAGAGGAACACCAGUGGCGAAGGCGAGUCUCUGGACACUUCCUGACGCUGAGGCACGAAAGCCAGGGGAGCAAACGGG